RNAcentral lists this ribosomal RNA (499 nucleotides) under uncultured bacterium. RNAcentral describes it as "bacterial SSU rRNA". It matches the Rfam family "Bacterial small subunit ribosomal RNA", at positions 28 to 515 of the family's 1533-position model. The record is from RNAcentral.
GAUGAACGCUAGCUACAGGCUUAACACGUGCAAGUCGAGGGGAAACGAUAGAGAAAGCUUGCUUUUCUAGGCGUCGACCGGCGCACGGGUGAGUAACGCGUAUCCAACCUGCCCACCACUUGGGGAUAACCUUGCGAAAGUAAGACUAAUACCCAAUGACGUCUCUAGAAGACAUCUGAAAGAGAUUAAAGAUUUAUCGGUGAUGGAUGGGGAUGCGUCUGAUUAGCUUGUUGGCGGGGUAACGGCCCACCAAGGCGACGAUCAGUAGGGGUUCUGAGAGGAAGGUCCCCCCANAUUGGAACUGAGACACGGUCCAAACUCCUACGGGAGGCAGCAGUGAGGAAUAUUGGUCAAUGGACGAGAGUCUGAACCAGCCAAGUAGCGUGCAGGAAGACGGCCCUAUGGGUUGUAAACUGCUUUAUAAGGGAAUAAAGUGAGUCUCGUGAGACUUUUUGCAUGUACCUUAUGAAUAAGGACCGGCUAAUUCCGUGCCAGCAGC